RNAcentral lists this long non-coding RNA (1206 nucleotides) under Nicotiana benthamiana. RNAcentral describes it as "long non-coding RNA (NBEN_LNC037762)". Lineage: Eukaryota; Viridiplantae; Streptophyta; Magnoliopsida; Solanales; Solanaceae. The record is from RNAcentral.
AAGACAAAAGUGAAAACUAGAUAGAAAACGAACUAAAGUCAACCCAAUCUGAACUUACACUACUGCAAUAGCUACAAUAAAAUAGUAGGAAAUAGAAAUCAGAAAACUAAAGAAAGGAUUAAGGUUCCAAUUAGGGUCCCAAACUGUGAAACUUCAGUUAUAAGUUCAGAGGCAUAACGACAUAUGAAAGCUAAACACUAUUGAUUCUGAAUUGACCAAUCAAUUAAUCAACGAAACUACACUGAUAAAAAUAAAACUAACACGAAGAACACCAUAGAAAUAUCACAAAUGAAUCAGAUCAAUAUAACCAAACUAAAUGAAUAAUUAGUCGAGAAGCUAAUCAAUUGAUCUUAGUCUCAUAUGAUACAACAAAACUAAACACUGUGAGCAACUAAAGGGCUAACCAAAAAUGACAUACAACAUCAGAAGAAUAAUGGAAACUCGAUGAAUCACUACUCAAAUGUAUAUGAAAAACAUAACAUGAAUGAAAAUUAAACUCUAAGCCUAAUGCAAAAAUAAUAUAACAAAACAAACAAAAUAAGAGGGGGGAAAAAUCAGAAAGUGGAAAGAGGGAGCAAUGUUUUAUCACAUAAGUCAUCCGAUGCUAACUUGAGCCACCAAAAGAUGAAGCAAACCCCAAGAAGCGACUGUCCGACCCCGAAACAUAGAUUUCUUUUUAGUAGAUGCCAAAUCAAAUAUGUUUUGGAAUCAUACUUGAAAGAAAUAUGGGUCUUUGGGUCGAGUAGUCCAGAAGAUAAAGGGUAAGUGGUGGUGUGGUAUUGGCAGCGACGGGUGGUGGCAAUAACGGCAGAACAGAUUUUGGGGGUUAAAUUAAAGGGGAAGUGUAUCUUCUAGAAAUAUAUAUAUGAAUAUAUAAGGCUUGUGUGGUGGGGAUGAUUGGUAUGUCACUAAUUUGAGAAAAAAAAUGGGCGACUAGGGUUUCAGAUUUGGCUAGAUUUGUAGAGUUUGGUGAGGAUUUCAGGGAUUUGGGAUUUGGAUAUGAAAGAGGAGGAAUAGACAAAGAGAUAGUGAAAAAUGGGAUUGAUUGGACGUUGUUCGCCGGCGGUGGCAAUAUUCGGCCAGCGGAAUAGGGGCGGCGACAGGAGGAGCAGGUAGAGGGGGGGGAGAGAGUGAUAAGAGAGAUGAAGAAGAAAGGGAGAUAUAAGGGGAAAUGGGGCCAAUUUUUAGAUUUUUGAGGCUUUAAAU